RNAcentral lists this ribosomal RNA (498 nucleotides) under uncultured bacterium. RNAcentral's name for it is "partial 16S ribosomal RNA". It matches the Rfam family "Bacterial small subunit ribosomal RNA", at positions 27 to 507 of the family's 1533-position model. The record is from RNAcentral.
GGAUGAACGCUGGCGGCGUGCCUAAUACAUGCAAGUCGAGCGAACAGACGAGGAGCUUGCUCCUUCGACGUUAGCGGCGGACGGGUGAGUAACACGUAGGUAACCUACCUAUAAGACUGGGAUAACUUCGGGAAACCGGAGCUAAUACCGGAUAAUAUUUCGAACCGCAUGGUUCGAUAGUGAAAGAUGGCUUUGCUAUCACUUAUAGAUGGACCUGCGCCGUAUUAGCUAGUUGGUAAGGUAACGGCUUACCAAGGCAACGAUACGUAGCCGACCUGAGAGGGUGAUCGGCCACACUGGAACUGAGACACGGUCCAGACUCCUACGGGAGGCAGCAGUAGGGAAUCUUCCACAAUGGGCGAAAGCCUGACGGAGCAACGCCGCGUGAGUGAUGAAGGUCUUCGGAUCGUAAAACUCUGUUAUUAGGGAAGAACAAACGUGUAAGUAACUGUGCACGUCUUGACGGUACCUAAUCAGAAAGCCACGGCUAACUACGUG